Molecule: long non-coding RNA, 318 nt
Filed under: Capsella rubella
Lineage: Eukaryota; Viridiplantae; Streptophyta; Magnoliopsida; Brassicales; Brassicaceae
Description: long non-coding RNA (CRUB_LNC004825)
Source: RNAcentral
AAUUUAUAGGUUUAGUUAACUUUGUUGAUAUGUAUAUAUACCUAUCAGCCUUGUAGAAGAGGGAACUUCUAAAUCGGCAAAACACGGACCCGAUAUAUUUAAAGUGCUUGUUGUAUAACAAAAAAAACAAAAACUGAUAGGAUUUUAUCGACAAAAAAAAAAAAAAAACUGAUAGGAUUCAUUAUUGCAUUAAUUAGUUUGGUCACGUUAAUAAAUCUUAUUACACUGCGAUUGACGUUAACGUAUGAUGUUACUGCUAACAAGAAUUUCAAAUCAAAAUUCACAAGAAAAUAGUUUCAAUUCAAGCCUAUAUAUUCG